CCUACGGGCGGCAGCAGUGGGGAAUAUUGGACAAUGGGGGCAACCCUGAUCCAGCCAUGCCGCGUGUGUGAAGAAGGCCCUCGGGUUGUAAAGCACUUUCAGUGAGGAAGAACGCCUGGUGGUUUAUACCCAUCAGGAAAGACAUCACUCACAGAAGAAGCACCGGCUAACUCCGUGCCAGCAGCCGCGGUAAUACGGAGGGUGCGAGCGUUAAUCGGAAUUACUGGGCGUAAAGCGCGCGUAGGUGGCUUGAUAAGCCGGUUGUGAAAGCCCCGGGCUCAACCUGGGAACGGCAUCCGGAACUGUCAAGCUAGAGUGCAGGAGAGGAAGGUAGAAUUCCCGGUGUAGCGGUGAAAUGCGUAGAGAUCGGGAGGAAUACCAGUGGCGAAGGCGGCCUUCUGGACUGACACUGACACUGAGGUGCGAAAGCGUGGGUAGCAAACAGGAUUAGAUACCCGUGUAGUC
Molecule: ribosomal RNA, 465 nt
Filed under: Vreelandella stevensii
Lineage: Bacteria; Pseudomonadati; Pseudomonadota; Gammaproteobacteria; Oceanospirillales; Halomonadaceae
Description: partial 16S ribosomal RNA
Rfam family: Bacterial small subunit ribosomal RNA
Source: RNAcentral